GAGAAGAACGCAGCGAAAUGCGAUAAGUAGUGUGAAUUGCAGAAUUCAGUGAAUCAUCGAAUCUUUGAACGCACAUUGCGCCCCUUGGUAUUCCAUGGGGCAUGCCUGUUCGAGCGUCAUUAUAACCCUCAAGCUCAGCUUGGUGUUGGGGCCUGCUGCACUGGCAGCCCUUAAAAUCAGUGGCGGCGCCAUCUGGCUCUAAGCGUAGUAAUUCUUCUCGCUAUGGAGUCCUGGUGGAUGCUUGCCAUCAACCCCCAAUUUUUCUAUGGUUGACCUCGGAUCAGGUAGGGAUACCCGCUGAACUUAAGCAUAUCAAUAAGCGGAGGA
RNAcentral lists this unclassified non-coding RNA (327 nucleotides) under soil metagenome. Its description in RNAcentral is "partial contains 5.8S ribosomal RNA, internal transcribed spacer 2, and large subunit ribosomal RNA". The stretch from base 3 to 119 matches the Rfam family "5.8S ribosomal RNA", at positions 38 to 154 of the family's 154-position model. The record is from RNAcentral.